This is a small nuclear RNA of Pipistrellus kuhlii (Kuhl's pipistrelle), 125 nucleotides long. RefSeq annotates it as U4atac minor spliceosomal RNA. The record is from RefSeq and is a predicted model, not a curated record. Lineage: Eukaryota; Metazoa; Chordata; Mammalia; Chiroptera; Vespertilionidae. The transcript has a single exon.
ACCAUCCUUUUCUUGGGGUUGCGCUACUGUCCAAUGAACGUGUAGUGAGGGCAGUACUGCUAACGCCUGAACAACACAUACGCAUCAGGCGGGCUCUGCCUGGCCUCGGUGCAAUUUUUGGAACU